This is an RNA transcript of Xenia sp. Carnegie-2017, 6103 nucleotides long. It is a transcript of the gene named N-acetylated-alpha-linked acidic dipeptidase 2-like, with no coding region annotated. The record is from RefSeq and is a predicted model, not a curated record. Lineage: Eukaryota; Metazoa; Cnidaria; Anthozoa; Malacalcyonacea; Xeniidae. The transcript is spliced from 13 exons.
UACGUUUAUGUGACACGAUUUGGCUUUAGCUUGAAAAAUAGCACAACUUUAUUCAUUUUUCGAACAAUCGAAUACUGUAACAGCUCACCAUUGACAUGCUAUAACUGUUUCCACAUGUGCUUUGCCCGAAGGUUUUCAUCUUAAAAACAUUUCUUUUUCUUUGCUUCAUGAAAACGCGAUAAUAUUUGAUAGUUUAGCUAAUGCAUAUAGUGUUGUAUUGAUCACGUGUUGGUCUUAGGUGGAAUUUUCCAACUUUAAUCCAAUUGCAAAUUGAAAAUCGGUACACAAUAGUCCACUAUGAUACACCUUGACCGACAGGAAAUUUGAAGUGUUUUUUGCGCAAUCGAUCACCCCUCCAGCUCUGGUGAAUGAAUUUCAUACUGUUGGUGAAUUUACUUUGCUAUUGUACAGCUACGCCGCAUGUUUUGUCAUUUACAUUUCAGGAUAUUGCUGUUGAUUAUUUCCAUUUGACCAUCGCAACGUCAUAACGAAAAUUAGAUUUGAGAAUUUUUCUAGAAAGCGAUGGAAGGAUAUGUCAUUAAUGUACUUUUUUUCGCAUGUGGUGUGUCAUAUUUCACAGUUUGGCUCGAAAAUGCAGUUAAUUGUGGCAUACCGCUAUGUUUUACGAAAGUAAAAAUACAUCGAAAUUCAACUGACGCGCGGGAUAAUAAACAAACUUUUAUAAUUUCUCCCCUGUGAAUGACGAUCUCUAAUGCACAAUUGAAAACCUUUUCAACCAAAGUUUUGUUGACCGUACGCUGUGGCUAGCCGAGAAUCUGAUAGCUGGAGGUUGGUGGCGUAAUAAUUUCGUGCAUUCCCCCGUAGAAGCCAUUCACGGAUUAACUUAUCGUUAACUGCAUGUGUUGCUCAGUCGUAGGUUGGUCGUACAUGGUGUAGCUUCAACCUGGAAGUCAAAAGGUAUGUUUUUGAACACCGUCGAAUCAAAAGGUAUGAAUUGAAUCACUUGUUAUGCAACAGAUGACAUCGAAGACUUGUUUAAACAAGUAGCUAGUCAUCCUUUCUGCCAUCCAAAUGUUGGAAGAGUAAACAUGGGUGGACUUGUUGACGAAUUCUGAAGUGUAAUAUUUCAGGGUUUUUUAUGCUUGGUCCUUUCUUUUACUUUUUUUAUCUCAUUCGUAGACAAGUUAUUGAAUGGCUGUAACCAUGCAACUAUUACAAUAUGAACAAAGAGUUCAGCACGCAUUUUGCUGCUCUUUUGGAUGCUUUUCUGGUUAUUUCAGGCGUCUUCUUCCUGUUUUCAUAGCCAUCCUUUUGGCGGUUCUACUGGGGUUUUUGCUUGGGCAUUUUCUUUCAAAGAAGGAUGACGGUUGCAUGGAUAAAAUGACAGAAGAUUGCUCCCAUGGUUAUGACAAAAGUCGAGAAGUACAGCUUCUUAGUAUGUUGAACAAGAAAAAGAUCGAAAACACGUCAAGGGAAUUUUCGAGAAAACCGCAUCUGGCAGCGUCUCGACGGGAUGUGGAACUGGCCGGAAUGAUAGAAAGUUCUUGGAAAAAGUAUGGAUUUUAUGUCGAGCUACCUACAUAUGAAGUGCUUUUGUCUUUUCCAAAGAAAAAUCUCAGCAACAAAGUGAAAAUCGUUGAUGGACAUGGCUUCACGAUAUUUGAGACUGCAGAUAUCCUUGAUGUCGACGGUGUGCCGUCGUUCCUUGGUUAUUCUUCAGCAGGAAAUGUGUCAGGAAAUCUUGUCUAUGUAAACUAUGGAAUGCAGCAAGAUUUUAACAAGCUUCGUGAUUAUGGGGUGUCGUUAAACGGUUCCAUUGCAUUGAUUCGAUAUGGAAAGAUCUUUCGAGGAAUUAAGGUUUCGUUGGCUGCCGAAAAUGGAGCUGUAGGCGUUAUCUUGUAUUCCGACCCAGCUGAUUAUUCUGCAUAUGGGAGUGGCUCAUGGUCGCUGCCACCAAAUGCUGUUCAAAGAGGCUCGGUAAAUCCCGGACCUAUCUUUGGUGAUCCUCUUACUCAUGGUUUACCCUCGACCUUAGGAAUGUAUCGUAAUUGGUCUGUGAACUUGCCGAAGAUACCAGUUCACGUGAUCACCUCUGAAGAAGCUGAAGUGUUAUUGAAACGAAUGAAAGGUCCUGAAGUGCCUCCUACUUGGACAGGUGCUUUCAAUAUAACAUAUCGCUUUGGCCCCGGCUUUCAGACCCCAGGAGAUAUUAUCAAUUUGGAAGUUCACACUGAAAAUACCCUUAAGAAUGUUUCGAAUGUCAUUGGCACCAUAAAAGGCAGCGUGGAACCAGAUCGUGUUGUUCUCAUUGGUUCUCAUCGCGAUUCCUGGGUUAAAGGUGCUGUAGAUUCGGUAGGCGGAACCUCUAUAAUGAUGGAACUAUCACGUGCUCUAGGCAUGAUGCUGAGAUCGGGUUGGCGUCCUCGCAGGACUAUUAAGUUUUGUAGCUGGUCAGCGGAAGAAUAUGCUUUGAUUGGCUCAACAGAGUAUGUCGAAGAAAACUUCAAGGUACUUUCAGAUCGCGCUGUGGUCUAUCUGAACUUAGACUUGGCUGUAUGUGGUAACUAUACCAUACGAGCAUAUUCCAGUCCAAUGCUUAAUGAUCUUAUUAGAAAUGUGGUAGGCGAUGUUACUGAUCCUUAUGACCGCAGCAGAACUCUCUAUGACGUCAUGGUCGAGCGGGAUUCAUCCUCCGGGAGUACUAAACCAAAUAUACGAACUCUCGGGGCAUUCAGCGACUAUGCUCCAUUUUAUCAAUACCUUGGAAUUCCUGCUAUUGAUUAUGGGUAUCUAUUUAUUGACGAGAAAAAACUGGCAUUUCCUUAUCCAGUUUAUCAUGCGUUGGCUGACACAUACGACUGGAUCAAACAGCACCUCGAUCCUGAUUAUGAACUUCAUUUAACAAUCGCGAAGCUCACUGCUAAACUUCUAUUGCGUUUAAGCGACAAACCUUUGCUGCCUAUGAGCAGUGUCUUAGAUUAUGCAAAGGUUCUCAAUGAUUCGCUCGAGUAUAUUGAAAAAACGUUUAUCACUGUGUUGCAAAACAGGAAUAUCUCACUGGAGCAUCUUGGAAACGCAGUGCGAAGUUUCACGAAGUAUGCCAAAGCAUUUGAAGCGCAUUUGGCUUCCUACGAAGGCGAGGAGGCCUAUCGAAAAGUUCGCAUUUUAAACGAUCAAAUGAUGCAAGUUGAAAAAUCCUUUCUACACCCCGGUGGUCUUCCUGGUAGAGAACAGUUCAAACAUCUUGUUUUUGCUCCUAGCUUAUCUAAUAUCUACGCUAGUGCCAGGUUUCCCGGCAUCACGGAGGCGUUAGAUAAGUGUCAACGAAAUAGUUCAAGGUGUACGGAAGUAAAAUAUCAGGUUUCUUUAGUGACGCUAAACACACAGCAAGCUGCGCGUAUUAUGAGGCCGGUCCUGCGCCGAGAGCCAUAAAAUCCCAAGUUCAGUGUCGAUCAAUGAAAACAAUUUAAUCAAAUUCACUAUUCACAACAACAAACUAAUACGUUAAUUUCAAAUGGAGAUGUAAUCAUUCUUACUAUUCAAGCCAUGUUCAAAAGCCAGUGAUUUGUUUAAAGCUAAAACAACAGCGAAACGAUGGAACUGUCCUACUUUCCUAACAACGUGAUAUUACUUCAAAAGAGUUCGAGCUGGAAAACAAGAAAAUUAGGUAUACUUUUUCCCCUACAAACGCCACAAAAACAACUAAGAGACACCUGCAUUAUUUCUAAGGUUAAAGCUAGAAGCGAGUGAUUGCUAUGAUGUUAAUAUUAUUACUAAGUUUAAAACAAAAAAAAGGGCAAUGUAAUCUCAUAAUUUUUGUGUUUUUGAAAAGGAUGGAGGAGAGAGGGUUGAAUGUUAGUUUACAAAAUUGAUUCAUCAACCUUUUAAAUCGCAAACCCAGAAUUCAACUCAGCUUCCAGCUCAUCAAUUGUUACAAUAGAUUGGCAAAGGUUUCCAAACUUAGAUAACUGCUUUUUGUGAUGCAUUUUUUACUUAUAACCAACAUUUUCUCCGUCAAUUUAACUGCGCCACGUAUUCAACGACUGAGUGAUGGAAAGCAUUUUCUUGAAAACAAAAAGGUAUUGAUAACAAAUUUCACAAAUUUCAUCCUUCACAUAUUAGUAACCAGGGUUCAUAAAGACUGAAAAUAUUUUCCUGAAUAUAUUGCGUUUAACAUAUGCGCAUAUGCGUUUGAUUUACUCGUUCCAGUUCGUUCGCAGACCAAAUUUAAUAUGGCAGCCAAUGUGCAAUUCUUGACUUGAGUCGCUUGUCAGAAUUCAGCUUACCAAAACUUAUACCGUACAAUUCUUAUUGUUCAUGAUCCAUAACGAAGGGAAAAUGUUUGAGCUGUCCUGCACUUUCAUCAAAUUGGUGGAUGCUUAAUAACGACUAGAUAAAGUUUCUGUAACUUCUUGAAAGAUUGUUAAAAUCGUCUUUCUCUCCUUCAUUGGCGUAAAUUAAUCCCCCUUGGACCUGGCCCGAUGCACCGUAGAAGAAGAAACGAGGUACGGUCCAAACAGUUUCGCUCGUCGGAUCUGCUUUCCCCUACAGGAAAAGGAAACGGCAUUGCAGGUCGAGCGUCCCCAUUCAUAUCAAAUUCGCAAACGUCUUCCUCAUCACGUUCUCUGGAAGUUAUGUAAGCGUUGUUGAUGUGGCAUUUUUGAUACUGUAAGGCAAGAACAAUGCAGAUGCAUUAUUUCAUUUGCUACUUUCAUUGUUCAUGAGAUAAAAUGAUUAAAGACAACUAUCAGUUCGGAGCAUGAUUAUUCCAAUAUGUUGUGCGAUUUUUUUGUCGAUUAACACGAUUCGAAACCUGCAAUUUCACUUAGUGAAUGAACUUCACACAAAAAAAUCAAAGAGUUUAGAAGAUAAAUUGGUCCUGAAUUACUGGACUUCACUAAGGGCAGUCAUCUCACUAAAUAUAAUUUCUAAUAUUUUGGCUGCAGCGUCUUAUUAAGCUAUUUUCAACCUUCCUUGGAGUUUUCGACAUACAAAUUUUGUUGACCACGAAAGCUCGUAAUGAACAGGUCUCCUUUUCAGAUCAGGUUACUGAUCUCAAAUUUUCACUUUCUCUCUCUCUAAGAAAAAGUAUUGUUGAAUUUAGGCCUUGGGCCCUUGUAUGGGAUAAAAAUUACAUUUUAGAAUUUAAAGCAAGCCAGGAAGUGAACAUUUGUGCUAUCGAAAGAAAUUUUUACGAAAAGUUGGCGUUGAUUUCUUAUAGGUGCGAGUGGCAUCACACUGCGCACUGCUCAUUCUUACCAUAUUUACAAACAAUACAUGGGUACUCAUCUCCGAUAAUACGGGAUUUUCCCUCGGGAGAGACUUUCCGGCCGGAGAGUUGGAGUAGAACAGAAGAGCAACUUAGCAAGAAGACUACUAAUUUUUUUCAACGCAAUUUUUCGUGAUGUCUUCGUUUAAUUUACUGGCUAUAUUUUUCUCUGCCUCAUUAGCACUAACGGAUGCUGAGUUUGUAGAUUGUGGAACUUAUGUAUGCUACCCUGCUUCAUACCAGACUGCAUAUUGUUGUGACUCAGAAUGCUGUUAUGAAGUUGAUGUCAUAGCAACAUGGUGGUUUUGGUUUGUGCUGGUAAUGGUCACUGUUUUCUUUGCCAUUUUCAUCAUUGUUUUAUGCCGUCGACGUUUGAAUAGAGUUGGUUAUGUAGUGGUGAGACGAGAGCAAUAUGUACCAAAUACAGUCAUAACUCAACAUGGAAGUCAGGUUCUAACUUCGGGAACAGUGUAUGCACCAAGUUAUGGUACUAUUCCUCCCCAUGAUGGUGGAUAUCCUGCUGGUUAUAAGGGGAAUGAUCCAACAGCACCACCAUAUGCAGCACCACCAUAUGCAGCACCACCAUACGCAGCACCACCAUAUGCAGCACCACCAUAUGCUCCACCAAAUAAUCCUUCAGGAAAAGUGCAUUAAUUACAUAUCAAGAUUGAGCAUUACAGUAGACACUUAUAUUAUAAGACAUGCACUGAAAAUCUUAGUCAAAUCUUUUUCAGAAAUAUUGGAGUACAAUAUAUGUAAUGUAGUUGUUCUUAAUGAAUGUUGAUUGCAAUAAGUUAAUUACAUUUGUUGUUAUUUUGGUAUCUAUGUAUUACAAAUUUACAACAUAUGUGACUUAUAGAAGUUUAAACAUAA